Molecule: ribosomal RNA, 429 nt
Filed under: Gemmatimonadota bacterium
Lineage: Bacteria; Pseudomonadati; Gemmatimonadota
Description: Gemmatimonadetes bacterium partial 16S ribosomal RNA
Rfam family: Bacterial small subunit ribosomal RNA
Source: RNAcentral
UAGGGAAUCUUCGGCAAUGGACGAAAGUCUGACCGAGCAACGCCGCGUGAGUGAAGAAGGUUUUCGGAUCGUAAAACUCUGUUGUUAGCGAAGAACAAGGACGUUAGUAACUGAACGUCCCCUGACGGUAUCUAACCAGAAAGCCACGGCUAACUACGUGCCAGCAGCCGCGGUAAUACGUAGGUGGCAAGCGUUGUCCGGAUUUAUUGGGCGUAAAGCGAGCGCAGGCGGUUUCUUAAGUCUGAUGUGAAAGCCCCCGGCUCAACCGGGGAGGGUCAUUGGAACCUGGGAGACUUGAGUGCAGAAGAUGAGAGUGGAAUUCCAUGUGUAGCAGUGAAAUGCGUAGAUAUAUGGUGGAACACCAGUGGCGAAGGCGGCACUCUGGUCUAUAACUGACGCUGAGGCUAGCAAGCGUGGGGAGCAAGCAAG